RNAcentral lists this transfer RNA (69 nucleotides) under Fukomys damarensis (Damara mole-rat). It matches the Rfam family "tRNA". From Rfam's summary of the family: Transfer RNA (tRNA) molecules are approximately 80 nucleotides in length. Their secondary structure includes four short double-helical elements and three loops (D, anti-codon, and T loops). Lineage: Eukaryota; Metazoa; Chordata; Mammalia; Rodentia; Bathyergidae. The record is from Rfam by way of RNAcentral.
GGGGGUGUAGCUCAGUGGUAGAGCGCUUGCCUAGCAGGUGCGAGGGCCUAGAUUCCAUCUUCAGCCCCA